AGGGUUUGAUCCUGGCUCAGGAUGAACGCUGGCGGCGUGCUUAACACAUGCAAGUCGAACGAACCUUCGGGUUAGUGGCGGACGGGUGAGUAACGCGUGAGAAUCUGCCCUCAGGAGGGGGAUAACGGUUGGAAACGACCGCUAAUACCCCAUAUGCCUACUGGUGAAACGAAUUUCGCCUGAGGAUGAGCUCGCGUCUGAUUAGCUAGUUGGUGAGGUAAUGGCUCACCAAGGCUUCGAUCAGUAGCUGGUCUGAGAGGAUGAUCAGCCACACUGGGACUGAGACACGGCCCAGACUCCUACGGGAGGCAGCAGUGGGGAAUUUUCCGCAAUGGGCGAAAGCCUGACGGAGCAACGCCGCGUGAGGGACGAAGGCCUCUGGGCUGUAAACCUCUUUUCUCAAGGAAGAAGAUAUGACGGUACUUGAGGAAUAAGCCACGGCUAAUUCCGUGCCAGCAGCCGCGGUAAUACGGGAGUGGCAAGCGUUAUCCGGAAUUAUUGGGCGUAAAGCGUCCGCAGGCGGCUUUUCAAGUCUGCUGUUAAAGCGUGGAGCUUAACUCCAUCAUGGCAGUGGAAACUGAAAGGCUUGAGUAUGGUAGGGGCAGAGGGAAUUCCCGGUGUAGCGGUGAAAUGCGUAGAUAUCGGGAAGAACACCAGUGGCGAAGGCGCUCUGCUGGGCCAUUACUGACGCUCAUGGACGAAAGCCAGGGGAGCGAAAGGGAUUAGAUACCCCUGUAGUCCUGGCCGUAAACGAUGAACACUAGGUGUCGGGGGAAUCGACCCCUUCGGUGUCGUAGCUAACGCGUUAAGUGUUCCGCCUGGGGAGUACGCACGCAAGUGUGAAACUCAAAGGAAUUGACGGGGGCCCGCACAAGCGGUGGAGUAUGUGGUUUAAUUCGAUGCAACGCGAAGAACCUUACCAGGGUUUGACAUCCUGCGAACCUCUUAGAAAUUUGAGGGUGCCUUCGGGAAUGCAGUGACAGGUGGUGCAUGGCUGUCGUCAGCUCGUGUCGUGAGAUGUUGGGUUAAGUCCCGCAACGAGCGCAACCCACGUUUUUAGUUGCCAGCAUUUAGUUGGGCACUCUAGAAAGACCGCCGGUGAUAAACCGGAGGAAGGUGUGGAUGACGUCAAGUCAUCAUGCCCCUUACACCCUGGGCUACACACGUACUACAAUGCUACGGACAAAGGGCAGCAAACUCGCGAGAGCUAGCAAAUCCCAUAAACCGUGGCUCAGUUCAGAUCGUAGGCUGCAACUCGCCUACGUGAAGUAGGAAUCGCUAGUAAUCGCAGGUCAGCAUACUGCGGUGAAUACGUUCCCGGGCCUUGUACACACCGCCCGUCACACCAUGGAAGUUGGCCAUGCCCGAAGUCGUUACUCCAACCCUUGUGGAGGAGGACGCCGAAGGUGGGGCUAAUGACUGGGGUGAAGUCAUAACAAGGUAGCCGUA
Molecule: ribosomal RNA, 1449 nt
Filed under: uncultured bacterium
Lineage: Bacteria
Description: bacterial SSU rRNA
Rfam family: Bacterial small subunit ribosomal RNA
Source: RNAcentral